This 72-nucleotide transfer RNA is filed under the name Loxodonta africana (African savanna elephant). It matches the Rfam family "tRNA". From Rfam's summary of the family: Transfer RNA (tRNA) molecules are approximately 80 nucleotides in length. Their secondary structure includes four short double-helical elements and three loops (D, anti-codon, and T loops). Further hydrogen bonds mediate the characteristic L-shaped molecular structure. tRNAs have two regions of fundamental functional importance: the anti-codon, which is responsible for specific mRNA codon recognition, and the 3' end, to which the tRNAs corresponding amino acid is attached (by aminoacyl-tRNA synthetases). tRNAs cope with the degeneracy of the genetic code in two manners: having more than one tRNA (with a specific anti-codon) for a particular amino acid; and 'wobble' base-pairing, i.e. permitting non-standard base-pairing at the 3rd anti-codon position. The record is from Rfam by way of RNAcentral. Lineage: Eukaryota; Metazoa; Chordata; Mammalia; Proboscidea; Elephantidae.
GCCACAGUGGAGCAAUGGUUAGGCACUUGGCUGUUAACCAAAAGGCUGGUGGUUCGAACCCACUCACUGGCU